Molecule: long non-coding RNA, 1162 nt
Filed under: Lepidothrix coronata (blue-crowned manakin)
Lineage: Eukaryota; Metazoa; Chordata; Aves; Passeriformes; Pipridae
Description: lncRNA (ENSLCOG00000000103.1)
Source: RNAcentral
UAGUUUUGGGGGUCCCCCCAGUUUUGGGGUGUCCUGAUGUCCCAGUUUUUGGGGUCACUCCGGUUUUGGGGUGUCCCGGUUUUGGGGUGUCCCGAUGUCCCGUUUCUGGGGUCACCCCAUUUUUGGGGUGUCCUGGUUUUGGGGUGUCCUGAUGUCCCAGUUUUUGGGGUCACUCCGGUUUUGGGUUGUCCUGAAGUCCCAUUUUUUGGGGUGUCCCGGUUUUUGGGGUGUCCUGGUUUUGGGGUGUCCCGAUGUCCCGUUUCUGGGGUCACUCCGGUUUUGGGGUGUCCUGGUUUUGGGGUGUCCUGAAGUCCCAUUUUUGGGGGGUCACCUCACUUUUGGGGUCCCCCCCAUUCCAAACACCCGGAUUUUGGGGGGUUGCAGCUUCCGGAUCCUUUAUUUUUUGGGGGGGUCACCCCAGUUUUGGGGUGUCCUGAUGCCCCAGUUUUUGGGGUCACUCCAUUUUUGGGGUGUCCCGGUUUUGGGGGUGUCCCGAUGUCCCGUUUUUGGGGUCCCCUCGAUUUUGGGGGGUCGCUGCUCCCGGAUCCUCCAGUUUUGGGGUGUCCCGGUUUUGGGGGUGUCCCGAUGUCCCGUUUUUUGGGGUUCCCUUGAUUUUGGGGGGUCGCCGCUCCCGGAUCCUCCGUUGCUGCCGUGUUGGGUUUUUGGGGACCCCCAUUUUUUUGGGGACCCCCAUUUUCUGAUGCCCCCAUUUUCUGGGACCCUCAUUCCUUUGGGACCCCCAUUUUUCGGGCCCCCCCCAUUUUUGGGGUGCCCAUCCCAGACUUUUGGGGUGUCGCUGCUCCCGGAUCCUCCGUCGCCACCGUGUCGGGUUUUUGGGGACCCCCAUUUUCUGGUCCCCCGUUUUCUGGGCCCCUCAUUUUUUGGGGUCCCUCAUUUUUGGGGUCUUCCAUUUUUAGGGUCCCCUUGAUUCUGGGGGGUCGCUGCUCCCGGAUCCUCUGUUGCCGCUUGUCGGGUUUCCGGGGGACCCCUUUUUUUCGGGGGACCCCAUUUUUAGGGGGCCCUCAAUUUUUGGGGGUCCCUCAUUUUUUGGGGGUCCCUCAUUUUUUGGGCCCCUCAUUUUUUGGGGUCCCUCAUUUUUUGGGUCCCUCAUUUUUCGGGCUGCCCCGUUUUUGGGGUGCCCAGUUUUUGGGGUGCCAGUUUC